Molecule: ribosomal RNA, 527 nt
Filed under: uncultured haloarchaeon
Lineage: Archaea; Methanobacteriati; Methanobacteriota; Halobacteria; Halobacteriales; Halobacteriaceae
Description: bacterial SSU rRNA
Rfam family: Archaeal small subunit ribosomal RNA
Source: RNAcentral
AUUCCGGUUGAUCCUGCCGGAGGCCAUUGCUAUCGGAGUCCGAUUUAGCCAUGCUAGUCGUGCGAGUUCAGACUCGCGGCACCGAGCUCAGUAACACGUGGCCAAACUACCCUACAGAGACGGAUACCCUCGGGAAACUGAGGUUAACCCGUCAUACCGAUCUCAGGCUUGAAUCGCAGAGAUCACAAAACGCCCCGGCGCUGUAGGAUGCGGCUGCGGCCGAUUAGGUAGACGGUGGGGUAACGGCCCACCGUGCCAGUAAUCGGUACGGGUGAUGAGAGUCAGAGCCCGGAGACGGAAUCUGAGACAAGAUUCCGGGCCCUACGGGGCGCAGCAGGCGCGAAACCUUUACACUGCACGGAAGUGCGAUAGGGGAACCCCAAGUGCGAGGGCAUAUUAGCCCUCGCUUUUCUCGACUGUAAGGUGGUCGACGAAUAAGAGCUGGGCAAGACCGGUGCCAGCCGCCGCGGUAAUACCGGCAGCUCAAGUGAUGUCCCAUAUUAUUGGGCCCUAAAGCGUCCGUAGCU